CUUAUUACAUUUUGCCAUGUCAGCAUUAAAUUUUUCCCGUACUUAUGGGCUAUGACUUUAUUGAUGUACAAAUUACUAGUUGAAACUAACCAUAAUAUUGUUUGUAUUUAAGAAAACAGAGGCACUAAGUGCAAGAGGUGCUCGGCAAAGAUCACCCUCCUUGUGGAUGUGAAUCACACAAUCUGCAAGUAACCCCCUUUAUUCGGUUUCCAUCACGAAAAGAUCCAUCGGGUUGACGAAUAAAGGUCCAGGAUGUAUGCAUCAUCAGGGGCUUCGAACUUGAUCAGUAUAAUCUGGUCCAAGCAAUUUGAUCUUGUACACUUCNAAAGGUCCAGGAUGUAUGCAUCAUCAGGGGCUUCGAACUUGAUCAGUAUAAUCUGGUCCAAGCAAUUUGAUCUUGUACACUUCCAUGGAAGAUGCCUGAAACCGGACUCAAGUUCCAAACCAAAAGUUUAAAAAUGCUCAUAACAAAUCUUCCUC
RNAcentral lists this long non-coding RNA (480 nucleotides) under Olea europaea (common olive). RNAcentral's name for it is "long non-coding RNA (OEUR_LNC008708)". Lineage: Eukaryota; Viridiplantae; Streptophyta; Magnoliopsida; Lamiales; Oleaceae. The record is from RNAcentral.